GACUCGAGGAGAAGGACCCCCGGUGUGCCGCCUGGAGAGGGCAGGUCGGCGUGCACCUCCCCGGUGUGAGAUCCCGGCGCUGCACAUCCCACUCGGCGCCCACCUGCCGGCUUCGUUCUAAGGCGAGAAGCACAGGCUACAAUUACGAUUAACUUGGGGACGCGGACCUCAGUCCUCCUGGUCACCACGUGAUGUUGAGCACAGAACGCGGGCUCUGAAAUCAGACAGACUCCAGUUGGAAUUGACCAGCAUUCAGUUGCAGAAGUGCUGGGAGAGCUGAAGAAAGAGGUCCCAGUGAGCCUCCAGGGACCAUCGCCUAAGCCACAGCCGUUGCCCUGGACUGCCGGGUUGGGGGGGGGGGCUGCUGGCUCGAGGACCUCAGUGCUGCUGUCCCCGUCACGAGGGAAACCAGCAAAAUUGGGAAGCAGCCACCGAUGCAGCUCCGGCCCUGUGUUUCGUCCUGAGCCUGUCAUCAGUGCGUCAAAUUAGUGGUGGUCUGCAACUGCCACCAAGUCCUCUGUCCCUUGAAUUCCCAUUAUCCUCCUGCUCUUCUAGUGCUGGAAAUAACACACCAGGAGUGUGGCCCCUGUCACUGGGAUCCCCAUUUGCUGCCACUGCCAUUUUCCCCAGGUGUGGGGCAGGACCACACACUGAGGGCUGCCGGGACCCCUACCCCACCCCCACCGGCGAAGGGUGCUCAUUGCCAGCCAGCCAGCGAGUGCUCCAGUCUAACACCCCAUCUUCGAGUCUGCUUCCUAGGACCACCUCCAGCGCUAGCUGGCUUAGACACAGAUCCCUGCAAACAGACUCGGAGAUGGAGAGCCGCGUGUCCGAAGUUUGGUGGGGAGGGUGUUGGAGGUUCCCAUAAGGAGGCGGGAGAAGCUGGCCUGUGAUGUAGCUGUCACGGGCCUUGGCCGACCCCCGGGCCCGUCCACAGGGCACCCCUACCUGCCGUACAUGCUUUAAGCACCUUCAGACCGACGGGCUUCUAUGGAUUCUGCAAGGAGCUCGGGAGCUGUAGGGCCCUUUCUCUUGUUCCAAACUGGAGCAAGGAGGCCGGUCAGCGGCCAUGGGCACCGUACCGUGGGUGGGGCAGCCCUGCUCCUGAUAGCAACUCCCAGGCAGGGACGUGGCGUCAGAGUCAGCCCCGCUGUCUCCAGCACCCGGUGCACAGGCCCUGAGGAGGGGUGCCACGGGACGCAGACACGUGAAGAUUGUACUUUAAGUACAGGAAAUGGCUGGACCGUGGGAAAAUGGUGGGUCUCGCUGUUUGUGUCCAGCUUCCUGUACUUACAGUGUUGAAGGCUUUUCCCCUUUGUGAACUUCUGGCUCUGCACUCGAGGAAUGGGCAUGAUCGUAAGAACACGUUGCCACUGCACGGAGCUGAAGCUGGAUCAGGUGAAACUCUGGAUGUGAGAGCCCGUGACAGAGUUGUGCAAACGUGAGGCAUCCCCAUUCAUACAGUCCCACCUGAAAGAAACGCAUGACAGACCUGAGUUCUAGGGCGGAGCUCAUGGAGGCUUAUGCCAGAGUUUUGGGCGGCUGGGUUUUAGGAGGAGGAGGAAGAGAGAGCACCUUGUUCCUGUGCUUCAAGCCAAGGAGGACUUGUAGGGAUAGGCCCCUAGAGGAAGGAGGACCCGUGGUGAAGAAAGGAAAGAGGGAAGAAGGAAGAGACGGAACGAGGGAGCACAGGAGGAGAGGGAAUCCAACCCUUGUUAAACUCAGUGCCAGGUGCUAAGCUUGGCCUCGUGUCUCCGUUCUCUCUCCCCAAGAGAGGUUGUUCUGUUAGGGGAGUCUGGGCAGCAAGUGAAAGAAAAUCCAAGUCAAACUAUCUUAGGCGAACGUGAACUCAAACUAACUUAACUAAGCCAAACAAACCAACAAAAACCAAAGCACAAGGAAUGUAUGGCCCCAAAACCAGAAGGAAGGGCUGCCUUCGAGAAGCCCUUGAUUCUGAGACUUAACUGGUGUCUCCAAGCCCCAGUUUCUCUGUUUUUUCUCUCACAGCUCGGCCUCCCACAUCACUGGCUUUGCUCCCCGUGUCUACGUGUCGGCCAAGAUGGCCGAGCUCAGGCUUUCCUUCUCAGCCUCCACCCACUGGGUGGGGGAGGACCUGUUUCUCUUCGUCCCCCAUUCCUGCCCAGACCUCACCCCUCAGCACCUCUCAUGGGCCACACUUCCUCCCUGACCCCGAACCCACACCCGGAAGAUCCUGAUGUUCUUGAGGACCCAGGGUCUAUGCAGAGCACGUGGACUGAAAGCUGCCAACAGAUGGUCCUUGAGCGGUGGAGAGGGUUGGGGGGGUAGUUAUGAAGACGGUCAAGUGCACAGACACUGAGCAGCAAAACCUGCACGUGACACCUGAGGCCUUCACCACCUUGUAGAGGGGAGAAGUCGAGUGCCGGGCAAGACUGGAUGACUUGUUCAAGGGUCACAUGCUCUCUUAAUUGUGCGAGGGGAUGCGUGAUUGAGACACGGCCAGAAAGCGGUGGCUCUGGAGGCGGAGACUUGGGCCACAUGACUCUGAAGGCUGCAUUUCUCUUGCAGGGCUAUUCGCCAACUGUGUACCUCAGCUGAACCGCCUCACCGUCGUCUCCUCACCCAGCUCUGACGGUCGACAACUCUACCAUGAAGACACGAAUUUCCAGCACAACUAUUGCCAAGUGCCUUGUUCUGUUUCUUUUGAGUAUUUGUUUCAAGGGAGAAUAAGCACAGCUCUGCUCGGACAUCACCGUGCCGCUCAGGUUCCCUCUGGCUGACUGACUCAGGUGUCACGUGUGGGUUUUGCUGCCCAGUGGGCCCCAUUCCCCAGCCUGCGCGGAUCGCGGCUGCCCCGGGCCCGGGCCAAAUCCGCUUCCUCCUUCACCCCGCUCUCCCCAGUUACCCUUGUUCCGUGCUUUGCCGUAAAACAAAUGCUUCUUUCCACUGUAUUGACCCCAAAUAUUUCAUCCAUUCACUGUCCCUGAAAGCCAAGUGUUUUUUUUCCAGGCCGGCUACAAACAAAAGCUAUUUUGUGAAGCUGUGAGGGCAGGGAGCCAGAUUACCUUUCACUGGUCGUUUUCUGUUUGUAAAAUGGCAGUGUCUUCUGGAAGCAUGAUACGGCAGCAAAUAAUUGCAUCAAUGUAAGAAGGAAUCUGUUGUCCUUUUUAUCUGUGUUUGCAUCUAGUUUGGCCCAUCCUUUGUCACUGUAUUUAUAGAGUUUUAGUGUUGCGUAAUUAUUAUUUGAUAUUUUGGUUUGGUUUUGGUUUUUUUUUUUUUUUUGCUUACUUCGAUGAUUUUUUUUCAUGCCAUUAACCUGGAUGUCCCUGUUUUAAUUGCUGCUUUAUGCUCAGCGAAUAUUUGUUCAUUCAACAAACAUUUAUUUAAAAACUACUUAACUAUUCCUCUGUGGGUUUCUCCCAGAUUUUAUUAUUAUAAGUAAAGGAAUGAAUAUCUCUAUGCAUA
This is a long non-coding RNA of Suricata suricatta (meerkat), 3444 nucleotides long. RefSeq lists it as uncharacterized. The transcript is spliced from 2 exons. NCBI's taxonomy places the organism in Eukaryota, Metazoa, Chordata, Mammalia, Carnivora, Herpestidae. The record is from RefSeq and is a predicted model, not a curated record.